UAUUUGUUUUAGGUGAUCUAGAGAAAUUGGAUGCAGGUAUGUCCCGAUCAUUCUCAGCAAAACCUGUUUGCUGAUCCACAUCACUAGCUUCUUCAUCACCCGUUCCAUCAUCAUCUUCUCUGUUGUACUUUUGAGAUUUUACCCGGUGACAAUGAUGGUUUGGGAUGAUUAGAUUUCAGGCCAGCUUUUGACACGGAUUUGGCUGAAGAAUUGACUGCAGAUUUGGCUGAAGAAUUGACUGCAGAUUUGGCUGAAGAAUUGACUGCGGCUUUGACGGUGUUCCAUGAUGGUAAUUAUUCGAAACACCUGGCAAUGGAGAAACUGAUCUUCUUCUGUGAGAAGUGGCCCUGCCACUUGGAUUUGGUGGACGUUGACAGGCUUGAGCCUCACCAACGACUGGCCCGGAACUGCAAUUUUCAAAAUUAAUGGGCCUUCCCCUUCCACGGCCGAUCCCCACGUGAUUGCCGGGCUGUGAUCUUGUUUGCCGGGCAUCUCUUUUCAUAAGAUCUGUUGGUGUAAUGAAUAUUGAUUCUAUCAUGAUUUAAUGUCUUUUUGAAUAACAGUAAUUUAAUAUAUUAACCUUUUUUAUA
This is a long non-coding RNA of Daphnia pulex (common water flea), 590 nucleotides long. RefSeq lists it as uncharacterized. NCBI's taxonomy places the organism in Eukaryota, Metazoa, Arthropoda, Branchiopoda, Diplostraca, Daphniidae. The transcript is spliced from 3 exons. The record is from RefSeq and is a predicted model, not a curated record.